GACAGAGGGUGCAAACGUUGUUCGGAAUUAUUGGGCGUAAAGGGCGCGUAGGCGGUGCGGUAAGUCUGGAGUGAAAUCUCUGGGCUCAACUCAGAGUCUGCUAUAGAAACUGCCGUGCUUGAGUGUGGGAGAGGUGAGUGGAAUUCCCGGUGUAGCGGUGAAAUGCGUAGAUAUCGGAAGGAACACCUGUGGCGAAAGCGGCUCACUGGACCACAACUGACGCUGAGGCGCGAAAGCUAGGGGAGCAAACAGG
Molecule: ribosomal RNA, 253 nt
Filed under: uncultured bacterium
Lineage: Bacteria
Description: partial 16S ribosomal RNA
Rfam family: Bacterial small subunit ribosomal RNA
Source: RNAcentral